Molecule: ribosomal RNA, 253 nt
Filed under: uncultured bacterium
Lineage: Bacteria
Description: partial 16S ribosomal RNA
Rfam family: Bacterial small subunit ribosomal RNA
Source: RNAcentral
GACGAACCGUGCGAACGUUGUUCGGAAUCACUGGGCAUAAAGGGCGCGUAGGCGGCUUGUCAAGUCAGGGGUGAAAUCCGGCAGCUUAACUGUCGAAGUGCCUUUGAUACUGAUGAGCUAGAGGGAGAUAGGGGUAUGCGGAACUUCCGGUGGAGCGGUGAAAUGCGUUGAUAUCGGAAGGAACGCCGGUGGCGAAAGCGGCGUACUGGAUCUCUUCUGACGCUGAUGCGCGAAAGCCAGGGGAGCAAACGGG